CGUAAGCGGAUCGGCCACACGGAGGAAGCAUUUGGGGGCUUAGGAAGAAACUAGCGCAGCUCCAUACCUGUACGGACUACAUAACUUUUAAACUACUGGACUCAAAGGAUCCACAUACACACAGGUACAGGAAAUACAGCCAGACCAAAGCCUUUUCAGACCCGAGCUGACCGGAAGACGUUGCCUUUCAUUCAUUCAUUCUGCCCGCGUCUGUGGAGUUCUUUACUAGGCGAGAAGCCCUAGAAGAGAAGCUGGACAUUUUUUAAAGGUCCCUGCGCUCUCCAAGAAGAGGAAAUAGAUGCUCAGGAGUGAACUACCGAGAGAAUCGGAUCUGGCGCCUCCUAACGCAGCUGGCAAAUGUGCGAAGGACUGCCUCCCAGGCUCAGUGUUCAUGAGAUCUGCUGGGCAGAAACUGAGUCACAGGGCCACCUAGAGGUUGGGGACCAGCUAUCAACAACACCCGCAGCUGAGGCCUGCAAACAGGGGGCCUGGGUUCAAGAUUCACACGCUGCCACUAAACGAUUUCAAGUGCCGCCAGGAAAACACCCCCCAUGCAGCAAAAGAAGAAGAGGAAGAAGAAAGUUUGAUGCUCCUUUUGUAUCCAGCCCUACACACUUGGUAGGUGCACAGUAAAAAGUACAGGAUGGGUUCCUAUGUUUUUCGAGAAUUCUGACUUAACCUAUGAGAUGUGUGCCUUUGGGGAAAGUGACUUCACCUCUCUGAAUCUCAUUAUGACUUGUACAAUGGGAAAAAUAAUAGAUCGUUGGGGGAAUGAGAUGAGAUCAUGGAAACACCAUCAUAACACUCCGUAUUUCAUUAUUCUGCUUCCGUAUGCUCUAUAGCGCUGAUCACUUCUAUCGCAUAGUUUACUUCUUUAUUUUGUUUAGUUUUUUUCUCCUUUCAUUUGCCUCUGUACUCCCAGCCCUGCAAAUAGAGCUUGGCCUGUUGUAAGUUCUCAGUAUUUGUUGAAUAAAUGAAUAGAGGGAUAUAAAGUGAUUAGUGGUCAAUAAAUGCCCUAUAGUGG
RNAcentral lists this long non-coding RNA (1024 nucleotides) under Moschus moschiferus (Siberian musk deer). RNAcentral's name for it is "lncRNA (ENSMMSG00000022731.1)". Lineage: Eukaryota; Metazoa; Chordata; Mammalia; Artiodactyla; Moschidae. The record is from RNAcentral.